Molecule: ribosomal RNA, 2932 nt
Filed under: Escherichia coli
Lineage: Bacteria; Pseudomonadati; Pseudomonadota; Gammaproteobacteria; Enterobacterales; Enterobacteriaceae
Description: 23S ribosomal RNA
Rfam family: Bacterial large subunit ribosomal RNA
Source: RNAcentral
GGGUUGUGAGGUUAAGCGACUAAGCGUACACGGUGGAUGCCCUGGCAGUCAGAGGCGAUGAAGGACGUGCUAAUCUGCGAUAAGCGUCGGUAAGGUGAUAUGAACCGUUAUAACCGGCGAUUUCCGAAUGGGGAAACCCAGUGUGAUUCGUCACACUAUCAUUAACUGAAUCCAUAGGUUAAUGAGGCGAACCGGGGGAACUGAAACAUCUAAGUACCCCGAGGAAAAGAAAUCAACCGAGAUUCCCCCAGUAGCGGCGAGCGAACGGGGAGGAGCCCAGAGCCUGAAUCAGUGUGUGUGUUAGUGGAAGCGUUUGGAAAGGCGCGCGAUACAGGGUGACAGCCCCGUACACAAAAAUGCACAUGCUGUGAGCUCGAUGAGUAGGGCGGGACACGUGGUAUCCUGUCUGAAUAUGGGGGGACCAUCCUCCAAGGCUAAAUACUCCUGACUGACCGAUAGUGAACCAGUACCGUGAGGGAAAGGCGAAAAGAACCCCGGCGAGGGGAGUGAAAAAGAACCUGAAACCGUGUACGUACAAGCAGUGGGAGCACAGAGCAAUCUGUGUGACUGCGUACCUUUUGUAUAAUGGGUCAGCGACUUAUAUUCUGUAGCAAGGUUAACCGAAUAGGGGAGCCGAAGGGAAACCGAGUCUUAACCGGGCGUUAAGUUGCAGGGUAUAGACCCGAAACCCGGUGAUCUAGCCAUGGGCAGGUUGAAGGUUGGGUAACACUAACUGGAGGACCGAACCGACUAAUGUUGAAAAAUUAGCGGAUGACUUGUGGCUGGGGGUGAAAGGCCAAUCAAACCGGGAGAUAGCUGGUUCUCCCCGAAAGCUAUUUAGGUAGCGCCUCGUGAAUUCAUCUCCGGGGGUAGAGCACUGUUUCGGCAAGGGGGUCAUCCCGACUUACCAACCCGAUGCAAACUGCGAAUACCGGAGAAUGUUAUCACGGGAGACACACGGCGGGUGCUAACGUCCGUCGUGAAGAGGGAAACAACCCAGACCGCCAGCUAAGGUCCCAAAGUCAUGGUUAAGUGGGAAACGAUGUGGGAAGGCCCAGACAGCCAGGAUGUUGGCUUAGAAGCAGCCAUCAUUUAAAGAAAGCGUAAUAGCUCACUGGUCGAGUCGGCCUGCGCGGAAGAUGUAACGGGGCUAAACCAUGCACCGAAGCUGCGGCAGCGACACUGUGUGUUGUUGGGUAGGGGAGCGUUCUGUAAGCCUGUGAAGGUGUGCUGUGAGGCAUGCUGGAGGUAUCAGAAGUGCGAAUGCUGACAUAAGUAACGAUAAAGCGGGUGAAAAGCCCGCUCGCCGGAAGACCAAGGGUUCCUGUCCAACGUUAAUCGGGGCAGGGUGAGUCGACCCCUAAGGCGAGGCCGAAAGGCGUAGUCGAUGGGAAACAGGUUAAUAUUCCUGUACUUGGUGUUACUGCGAAGGGGGGACGGAGAAGGCUAUGUUGGCCGGGCGACGGUUGUCCCGGUUUAAGCGUGUAGGCUGGUUUUCCAGGCAAAUCCGGAAAAUCAAGGCUGAGGCGUGAUGACGAGGCACUACGGUGCUGAAGCAACAAAUGCCCUGCUUCCAGGAAAAGCCUCUAAGCAUCAGGUAACAUCAAAUCGUACCCCAAACCGACACAGGUGGUCAGGUAGAGAAUACCAAGGCGCUUGAGAGAACUCGGGUGAAGGAACUAGGCAAAAUGGUGCCGUAACUUCGGGAGAAGGCACGCUGAUAUGUAGGUGAAGUCCCUCGCGGAUGGAGCUGAAAUCAGUCGAAGAUACCAGCUGGCUGCAACUGUUUAUUAAAAACACAGCACUGUGCAAACACGAAAGUGGACGUAUACGGUGUGACGCCUGCCCGGUGCCGGAAGGUUAAUUGAUGGGGUCAGCGCAAGCGAAGCUCUUGAUCGAAGCCCCGGUAAACGGCGGCCGUAACUAUAACGGUCCUAAGGUAGCGAAAUUCCUUGUCGGGUAAGUUCCGACCUGCACGAAUGGCGUAAUGAUGGCCAGGCUGUCUCCACCCGAGACUCAGUGAAAUUGAACUCGCUGUGAAGAUGCAGUGUACCCGCGGCAAGACGGAAAGACCCCGUGAACCUUUACUAUAGCUUGACACUGAACAUUGAGCCUUGAUGUGUAGGAUAGGUGGGAGGCUUUGAAGUGUGGACGCCAGUCUGCAUGGAGCCGACCUUGAAAUACCACCCUUUAAUGUUUGAUGUUCUAACGUGGACCCGUGAUCCGGGUUGCGGACAGUGUCUGGUGGGUAGUUUGACUGGGGCGGUCUCCUCCUAAAGAGUAACGGAGGAGCACGAAGGUUGGCUAAUCCUGGUCGGACAUCAGGAGGUUAGUGCAAUGGCAUAAGCCAGCUUGACUGCGAGCGUGACGGCGCGAGCAGGUGCGAAAGCAGGUCAUAGUGAUCCGGUGGUUCUGAAUGGAAGGGCCAUCGCUCAACGGAUAAAAGGUACUCCGGGGAUAACAGGCUGAUACCGCCCAAGAGUUCAUAUCGACGGCGGUGUUUGGCACCUCGAUGUCGGCUCAUCACAUCCUGGGGCUGAAGUAGGUCCCAAGGGUAUGGCUGUUCGCCAUUUAAAGUGGUACGCGAGCUGGGUUUAGAACGUCGUGAGACAGUUCGGUCCCUAUCUGCCGUGGGCGCUGGAGAACUGAGGGGGGCUGCUCCUAGUACGAGAGGACCGGAGUGGACGCAUCACUGGUGUUCGGGUUGUCAUGCCAAUGGCACUGCCCGGUAGCUAAAUGCGGAAGAGAUAAGUGCUGAAAGCAUCUAAGCACGAAACUUGCCCCGAGAUGAGUUCUCCCUGACCCUUUAAGGGUCCUGAAGGAACGUUGAAGACGACGACGUUGAUAGGCCGGGUGUGUAAGCGCAGCGAUGCGUUGAGCUAACCGGUACUAAUGAACCGUGAGGCUUAACCUUACAACGCCGAAGGUGUUU